UCCCUGAUAGCUCAGUUGGCAAAGAAUCUGCCUGCAAUGCAGGAGACCCUGGUUCAAUUCCUGGGUUGGGAA
Molecule: transfer RNA, 72 nt
Filed under: Bos taurus (domestic cattle)
Lineage: Eukaryota; Metazoa; Chordata; Mammalia; Artiodactyla; Bovidae
Also listed under: 2 other names
Rfam family: tRNA
About the family: Transfer RNA (tRNA) molecules are approximately 80 nucleotides in length. Their secondary structure includes four short double-helical elements and three loops (D, anti-codon, and T loops).
Source: Rfam by way of RNAcentral